Molecule: ribosomal RNA, 823 nt
Filed under: Halomonas sp. D58-A09
Lineage: Bacteria; Pseudomonadati; Pseudomonadota; Gammaproteobacteria; Oceanospirillales; Halomonadaceae
Description: bacterial SSU rRNA
Rfam family: Bacterial small subunit ribosomal RNA
Source: RNAcentral
AAUGACGUCAUGCGCGGCAGGCCUAACACAUGCAAGUCGAGCGGAAACGAUGGAGCUUGCUCCAGGCGUCGAGCGGCGGACGGGUGAGUAAUGCAUAGGAAUCUGCCCGGUAGUGGGGGAUAACCUGGGGAAACCCAGGCUAAUACCGCAUACGUCCUACGGGAGAAAGCAGGGGAUCUUCGGACCUUGCGCUAUCGGAUGAGCCUAUGUCGGAUUAGCUUGUUGGUGAGGUAAUGGCUCACCAAGGCGACGAUCCGUAGCUGGUCUGAGAGGAUGAUCAGCCACAUCGGGACUGAGACACGGCCCGAACUCCUACGGGAGGCAGCAGUGGGGAAUAUUGGACAAUGGGCGAAAGCCUGAUCCAGCCAUGCCGCGUGUGUGAAGAAGGCUUUCGGGUUGUAAAGCACUUUCAGUGAGGAAGAAGGCCUUGGGGCUAAUACCCCCGAGGAAGGACAUCACUCACAGAAGAAGCACCGGCUAACUCCGUGCCAGCAGCCGCGGUAAUACGGAGGGUGCGAGCGUUAAUCGGAAUUACUGGGCGUAAAGCGCGCGUAGGCGGCGUGAUAAGCCGGUUGUGAAAGCCCGGGGCUCAACCUGGGAACGGCAUCCGGAACUGUCAGGCUAGAGUGCAGGAGAGGAAGGUAGAAUUCCCGGUGUAGCGGUGAAAUGCGUAGAGAUCGGGGAGGAAUACCAGUGGGCGAAGGCGGGCCUUCUGGGACCUGACACCUGACCGCCUGAGGGUGCCGAAAAGCGGUGGGGUAUGCNAAACAGGGGAAUUAAGAAUACCCCGUGGGUAUGUUCCACCGCCCGGUAAACCAGANUG